RNAcentral lists this ribosomal RNA (496 nucleotides) under uncultured bacterium. RNAcentral's name for it is "partial 16S ribosomal RNA". It matches the Rfam family "Bacterial small subunit ribosomal RNA", at positions 29 to 507 of the family's 1533-position model. The record is from RNAcentral.
AUGAACGCUGGCGGCGUGCCUAAUACAUGCAAGUCGAGCGAACAGACGAGGAGCUUGCUCCUCUGACGUUAGCGGCGGACGGGUGAGUAACACGUGGAUAACCUACCUAUAAGACUGGGAUAACUUCGGGAAACCAGAGCUAAUACCGGAUAAUAUAUUGAACCGCAUGGUUCAAUAGUGAAAGACGGUUUUGCUGUCACUUAUAGAUGGAUCCGCGCCGCAUUAGCUAGUUGGUAAGGUAACGGCUUACCAAGGCAACGAUGCGUAGCCGACCUGAGAGGGUGAUCGGCCACACUGGAACUGAGACACGGUCCAGACUCCUACGGGAGGCAGCAGUAGGGAAUCUUCCGCAAUGGGCGAAAGCCUGACGGAGCAACGCCGCGUGAGUGAUGAAGGUCUUCGGAUCGUAAAACUCUGUUAUUAGGGAAGAACAAAUGUGUAAGUAACUAUGCACGUCUUGACGGUACCUAAUCAGAAAGCCACGGCUAACUACGUG